UCCCUGGUGGCCUAGCAGGUAAGGACUCAGCAUUGUCACUGCUGUGGCUUGGGUUCCAUCCCUGGCCCAGGAA
Molecule: transfer RNA, 73 nt
Organism: Sus scrofa (pig)
Lineage: Eukaryota; Metazoa; Chordata; Mammalia; Artiodactyla; Suidae
Rfam family: tRNA
About the family: Transfer RNA (tRNA) molecules are approximately 80 nucleotides in length. Their secondary structure includes four short double-helical elements and three loops (D, anti-codon, and T loops).
Source: Rfam